RNAcentral lists this long non-coding RNA (259 nucleotides) under Elaeis guineensis (African oil palm). Its description in RNAcentral is "long non-coding RNA (EGUI_LNC063342)". Lineage: Eukaryota; Viridiplantae; Streptophyta; Magnoliopsida; Arecales; Arecaceae. The record is from RNAcentral.
GGACUGUGUACAGUCAUGUUUCAAUUUAGCAAAACCUUGGCCAGAGUAGUCUUUGUGAGGAGUCACAGGACUGUUUGAGUUGAGCACGAUUCGGAUGAUCUAAUCAGGGUUGACAGUUUAACCCUGAGUCAUCCUAAACACAGAGGUCAAAAGGAUGAAUUAUACAGUAACCAUAUUCACGUAGGUUCUAAGUGUUGCGAUUGUGACCAUUCGACCGAUCCGGUCAUCGAGUACUGUUGUGUAUAAAGUGCCCCCCGAC